GACGAACGCUGGCGGCGUGCUUAACACAUGCAAGUCGAACGGUAAGGCCCUUCGGGGUACACGAGUGGCGAACGGGGGAGUAACACGUGGGUGAUCUGCCCUGCACUUCGGGAUAAGCCUGGGAAACUGGGUCUAAUACCGGAUAGGACCCUGGGAUGCAUGUCCUGGGGGGGAAAGCUUUUGCGGUGUGGGAUGGGCCCGCGGCCUAUCAGCUUGUUGGUGGGGUGAUGGCCUACCAAGGCGACGACGGGUAGCCGGCCUGAGAGGGUGACCGGCCACACUGGGACUGAGAUACGGCCCAGACUCCUACGGGAGGCAGCAGUGGGGAAUAUUGCACAAUGGGCGCAAGCCUGAUGCAGCGACGCCGCGUGAGGGAUGACGGCCUUCGGGUUGUAAACCUCUUUCAGCACCGACGAAGCGCAGGUGACGGUAGGUGCAGAAGAAGGACCGGCCAACUACGUGCCAGCAGCCGCCGUAA
RNAcentral lists this ribosomal RNA (478 nucleotides) under uncultured bacterium. RNAcentral describes it as "partial 16S ribosomal RNA". It matches the Rfam family "Bacterial small subunit ribosomal RNA", at positions 28 to 523 of the family's 1533-position model. The record is from RNAcentral.